Dreissena polymorpha is the source of this 1864-nucleotide long non-coding RNA. RefSeq lists it as uncharacterized. The transcript is spliced from 5 exons. The record is from RefSeq and is a predicted model, not a curated record. NCBI's taxonomy places the organism in Eukaryota, Metazoa, Mollusca, Bivalvia, Myida, Dreissenidae.
UGGUUUAACAUCAUAUGAAUGAAGCCUAAACAAAUGUUUAAAAUAAUAUAAAACACAAAACAAUGCCACAACAAUAAUACAUAUGUAUGUAUCUUUUAUGCUUUAAUACAUCCUCUCAAUCACUCUCUCCUGUUGUGACGGUUAGGAUUGCAAAUUAAGUGCAUGUGUUUAAAUAUGUCUGCCUGGCCAUUUCCAAAGUAAAUUAUUUACUUUAAAGAAUCUCAAAACAAUCCAAAUUUCACAUGCACAACAAUGGCAAAUAAAUACACAGGACUCAUUUGAACAAUGCAUUCUGAUAAUAGCAAUAACCACGCACCUGCUAUGCAAAUUAUUGCGCAAUCGGUGUUCAGGCAAAAAGUUGACCGAAAAAUGUGGGGUGUUUUUAACGCUUCACUACGAGCAUCAAAGAAGUAAUCCAAAUGAAAAAUUUGCAUAUGUGGGAGGAGAUAUGUCCAAAUAAGCGGUAUCUGACCUUGCCAUGACCGGAAAAGAAAAAAUCAUUGCUCAAAAGUGAAAGUGAAAAAUUCGAAGGCCAAUAUUUUGCAGAAAGAAGGCAGAUUCACUUGAAAUUUAGCUUAUAAUAAAUCAAUUAUUGUGUUUUUUAAUAAAUCCUAACCAUUUGGAUCAUGUAUAUGCACGUGAAAUAAUAUUUAUUUAUUUAUUUCCAACACCACUAUACCUGUGCAGUAGAGUUACUCCCCUUUCCGCGGAAUUAUUACAUUGUUGUUACGGUGAAUGCGGGAGCGAUCUUUUGAGCAGUUUUACGGAUAUCGGUACGAUAAACACAGUAUUUGUUUGGCAGGAAGAGAAAUCGUCUCAUCAGGUAUCGAUGCAGAGAACAUGACUGACAAAGAUCUAUUUGACAGUGAUUAUGAUGGGAUUUCACAAAUACAUGAGCACAGUUACAUUGUGAUAUCGGACUCUGACGAGACACGACCACCUUCACCUUUUGGUUGACAGGAAUAUUCCAGUGAAAGAUCAGUUGUUCAAUAGCCUUUUUUACAAACAAAUUCCUGGUGCUGCCAUUCCUAAUCAAUCGACAUAUCAGAAUUCUGGAUAAGAAUUCAGAUUACUGGCUGCAUAUUCAACCGAAUUUUGGGGUCCUGCGUUGGUGGGGGGUAAUGUGUUUCAGACCAGAAUCCUGCUGGACCAUCCAAUUGCAAGGACAUCUAACAUAGCUGAAAUGUAUCUGUAAUGAAUUAUUAAAAGUUUGGAUAAAAAAAGUGUUCUUUAAUCAUUAUUUUAAACAAAUUAUACACCCAGGUUGACUAUUUUGAAAAAAUGAAAAAUGGCAACUUUUACACAAGGGAUUUUUCAAUGUUUCCACAUUCACUAACAUUACUUUAGACAAUGUAAGAUGGACAAACCAUACAUAUUUGGAAAUGGUUUACUAAUACCUAUCAGAAAAUGUAUAAUUUUACUGGGUUUAUGUCAAUUUUCAAAAUCAGUGGUUAUUGCUACUGAUAAUACAAUAAUACAAACCUUAUAAAUGAACCCACACAAUUCAAUAAACUGUCAGUGUCAUAACCGACAUCUUGUCAUGAGGAAAUCCUGCUGCCAACUGAGUAAGGUGGCAAACUUAAUCCAAAGGCAGAUAACCAACAUUUAACUCAAACCGAUUUAUACAAGAAAGAGACAAAGUUUAAAAACAACCAUAUACCGGGUAAACAAGGGAGACAACAUUAACAGUCCUUUCAAUAUAUUGGGUUAUCAUCAGAUCAAGUUUCCUUGCACAAAAAAACAAUUGAAAAAUAUUUGAAACUGAAAACAAUUACACCUAUUAAUUAUCAUAACCUAUAUAUAUAUAUAUAGAAGAAAUAUUCUACAUAAUAUGUCACUUCUUCACAACUGGACGAUCUAUUAU